UUUAAUUUUGUAUAUUUUCUAAGUAAAAACAUCACUACCUCUACACUUAAAAAUAUUUAACCAAUAAACAUUUGGGGAAUAAAUUUCAUAAAUUUUGCCAUUAAAAUUCUAAAACGACACUUAUUUUGUUAAAAAAAAAACAAAUUUAUUCUGACACUUAAUUUGAAACAUAAAGAGUAAUAUUCUACAUUUAAAAAUUUAAUUAUAUUGAAAUUUUAAACAACAAAACAUGAAUCCAGAUUCAUAUUAUAUAUGUAAAUUGUUGUAAUAAGAUACAUCAAAAUACAAAAUUUUAACUUCAAAAAUAGAAAAACUCAAAUGUUAUAGUUCAAAACUUCAAAUGCGUCAAAUUGAUGUAACCGUUUGUUGGAUAAUAAAAUUGAUGAGCCAAAUAAGGCUAUCCCACACUAAAAAUUAUUUCAAGGUUUGAAAGCAUGGAUCAAAAUAUAGGUACAUAGAAAUACAAAUUACCAGGAUUUUCUCAUUUAUAAUAUAACCUUGAAAUAUACCAAUUUUUAAAAAAUAUUUAAAAUAUAAAGACAUUUAGUAACAUAAAUUAAAAUCAGAAAGUAUAAAACAAAAAAAUAUAGCUACAUAAAUCAGAAUGAACAUCCAAAAUUUUAUAUCCCUAUUUAGACUCAUGCCCUAAACUGAAUUUGAAAUUUUACCGGGUUCUUAACAUUGUCAUUUGAAACAAACCAAUAACCAAAAUAACUAAAUCCAAACCAAAAUAAAAAUUCAUAAAUAACCUAACAGUCACUAUUACUAUAUUCUUGAACAGAAAACCAAAAACUAC
RNAcentral lists this long non-coding RNA (796 nucleotides) under Brassica napus (rape). RNAcentral's name for it is "long non-coding RNA (BNAP_LNC008138)". The record is from RNAcentral. Lineage: Eukaryota; Viridiplantae; Streptophyta; Magnoliopsida; Brassicales; Brassicaceae.